UAGCAACCGCGUAGGAAUUGAUGGAACAGCUCACAAUGAGGAGGCGACAACAUAGAGGAAAGGUGCCGAUGACAGCGCAGGGUGAAAUGGAGAGCGUCGAGGCGGUGGUCCCAAAACAUGCAGGUACCAUGCGCGUAGGACACUAGGACUUGUCCAUGUGGACCAUCAUCACAUUUGUAGUAAUGUUUUUUGGCCAAUUUUAUUUCUUUAUGAGCCAAAUUAAUAAGAUUUUUUUUUGCAAGUUGGAUGAAACUCUCCUUUUGCCUAGAAGAUGAAUUCCGUGAUACUGUUGCCAGCCAUCUUGAGACUGGCAGCAUUAGCAAGCGCAUAUGGAU
Brachypodium distachyon (stiff brome) is the source of this 335-nucleotide non-coding RNA. Lineage: Eukaryota; Viridiplantae; Streptophyta; Magnoliopsida; Poales; Poaceae. The record is from RefSeq and is marked provisional.